Molecule: ribosomal RNA, 630 nt
Filed under: Pediococcus acidilactici
Lineage: Bacteria; Bacillati; Bacillota; Bacilli; Lactobacillales; Lactobacillaceae
Description: bacterial SSU rRNA
Rfam family: Bacterial small subunit ribosomal RNA
Source: RNAcentral
GAACUUCCGUUAAUUGAUUAUGACGUGCUUGCACUGAAUGAGAUUUUAACACGAAGUGAGUGGCGGACGGGUGAGUAACACGUGGGUAACCUGCCCAGAAGCAGGGGAUAACACCUGGAAACAGAUGCUAAUACCGUAUAACAGAGAAAACCGCCUGGUUUUCUUUUAAAAGAUGGCUCUGCUAUCACUUCUGGAUGGACCCGCGGCGCAUUAGCUAGUUGGUGAGGUAACGGCUCACCAAGGCGAUGAUGCGUAGCCGACCUGAGAGGGUAAUCGGCCACAUUGGGACUGAGACACGGCCCAGACUCCUACGGGAGGCAGCAGUAGGGAAUCUUCCACAAUGGACGCAAGUCUGAUGGAGCAACGCCGCGUGAGUGAAGAAGGGUUUCGGCUCGUAAAGCUCUGUUGUUAAAGAAGAACGUGGGUGAGAGUAACUGUUCACCCAGUGACGGUAUUUAACCAGAAAGCCACGGCUAACUACGUGCCAGCAGCCGCGGUAAUACGUAGGUGGCAAGCGUUAUCCGGAUUUAUUGGGCGUAAAGCGAGCGCAGGCGGUCUUUUAAGUCUAAUGUGAAAGCCUUCGGCUCAACCGAAGAAGUGCAUUGGAAACUGGGAGACUUGAGUGCAGAA